UACGUAGGGUGCAAGCGUUAAUCGGAAUUACUGGGCGUAAAGCGUGCGCAGGCGGUUAUGUAAGACAGAUGUGAAAUGCCCGGGCUUAACCUGGGAACUGCAUUUGUGACUGCAUGGCUAGAGUUUGGCAGAGGGGGGUAGAAUUCCACGUGUAGCAGUGAAAUGCGUAGAUAUGUGGAGGAAUACCGAUGGCGAAGGCAGCCCCCUGGGUCAAUACUGACGCUCAUGCACGAAAGCGUGGGGAGCAAACAGG
RNAcentral lists this ribosomal RNA (253 nucleotides) under uncultured bacterium. Its description in RNAcentral is "partial 16S ribosomal RNA". It matches the Rfam family "Bacterial small subunit ribosomal RNA", at positions 524 to 776 of the family's 1533-position model. The record is from RNAcentral.